UACGGGGGGGGCAAGCGUUGUUCGGAAUUACUGGGCGUAAAGGGCUCGUAGGCGGCCAACUAAGUCGGACGUGAAAUCCCUCGGCUUAACCGGGGAACUGCGUCUGAUACUGGAUGGCUUGAAUCCGGGAGAGGGAUGCGGAAUUCCAGGUGUAGCGGUGAAAUGCGUAGAUAUCUGGAGGAACACCGAUGGCGAAGGCAGGUCUCUGGGCCACUACUGACGCUGAGAAGCGAAAGCAUGGGGAGCGAACAGG
RNAcentral lists this ribosomal RNA (253 nucleotides) under uncultured bacterium. RNAcentral's name for it is "partial 16S ribosomal RNA". It matches the Rfam family "Bacterial small subunit ribosomal RNA", at positions 524 to 776 of the family's 1533-position model. The record is from RNAcentral.